CUCUCUGCUUAGUUUGGGAAUUCUGUUGGCAUGUUACCUGGUUUGAGUACGCAAUCUAGCAAUGAGGAAAAGAGUCUAUUACAUUGUGUGGGCUAAAUUUCCCAUUUAAAAUUUAAUUGAACUGGUGUAAAAAGGAGAUGCAGGGAAAUUAGGGGAAGAAUAAGGAAAAAAGUAGGUUACAGAGUUUGUAUAUAAUUUAGGAGUUCUCAAAUUGAUCGGACUGGGUAAAUUGCAUUUUAGGAUAUUCGAAGCACUGUUGGAAGAAAUCACACAGUUACUGUCUUUGAAAAGAGAUGAAGAAUGAUGACAUGUUUGAAGAUGAGAUGAUUGGCCAGGAAAAUUCUCUGCUUCUGCUGAUGAUUGAACAGAAAUACAAUGCUUCCUGAAAGGGUUGUUUUGAAAGUUGAAUGAAAUUUGAUGAAAUGUUGGGAAAGGAUCUACCUGUUUAGACAUGAGUGCACCUUUCUAACCUCAGAAGACCUGCUGUUGAAUCAAAAUGGAUGGUAUUCAUAUAUUCAUUCAUGUACUGCAAAAUUUGCCUGCAUAAAAUUGCAAUGGGACAGAACAGCCAGAUGAUUAUUCUUCAGACUCUCUUACUACAAACAUCC
This is a long non-coding RNA of Gallus gallus (chicken), 608 nucleotides long. Lineage: Eukaryota; Metazoa; Chordata; Aves; Galliformes; Phasianidae. The record is from Ensembl.